Molecule: ribosomal RNA, 440 nt
Filed under: uncultured bacterium
Lineage: Bacteria
Description: partial 16S ribosomal RNA
Rfam family: Bacterial small subunit ribosomal RNA
Source: RNAcentral
CCUACGGGUAGCAGCAGUGGGGAAUAUUGCACAAUGGGGGAAACCCUGAUGCAGCGACGCCGCGUGAGCGAUGAAGUAUUUCGGUAUGUAAAGCUCUAUCAGCAGGGAAGAAAAGGACGGUAGCUGACUAAGAAGGACCGGCUAACUACGUGCCACCAGCCGCGGUAAUACGUAGGGGGCAAGCGGUAGCCGGAUUUACUGGGUGUAAAGGGCGCGUAGACGGCGAUGCAAGCCAGAUGUGAAAGCACGGGGCUCAACCCCGGGACUGCAUUUGGAACUGUAUAGCUGGCGUGUCGGAGAGGCAGGCGGAAUUCCUAGUGUAGCGGUGAAAUGCGGAGAUAUUAGGAGGAACACCAGUGGCGAAGGCGGCCUGCUGGACGAUGACUGACGUUGAGGCUCGAAAGCGUGGGGAGCAAACAGGAUUAGAUACCCGAGUAGUC